GAUGAACGCUGGCGGCGUGCCUAACACAUGCAAGUCGAGCGAACGGACGAGAAGCUUGCUUCUCUAAUGUUAGCGGCGGACGGGUGAGUAACACGUGGAUAACCUACCUAUAAGACUGGGAUAACUUCGGGAAACCGUAGCUAAUACCGGAUAAUAUUUUGAACCGCAUGGUUCAAAAGUGAAAGACGGUCUUGCUGUCACUUAUAGAUGGAUCCGCGCUGCAUUAGCUAGUUGGUAAGGUAACGGCUUACCAAGGCAACGAUGCAUAGCCGACCUGAGAGGGUGAUCGGCCACACUGGAACUGAGACACGGUCCAGACUCCUACGGGAGGCAGCAGUAGGGAAUCUUCCGCAAUGGGCGAAAGCCUGACGGAGCAACGCCGCGUGAGUGAUGAAGGUCUUCGGAUCGUAAAACUCUGUUAUUAGGGAAGAACAUAUGUGUAAGUAACUGUGCACAUCUUGACGGUACCUAAUCAGAAAGCCACGGCUAACUACGUG
Molecule: ribosomal RNA, 497 nt
Filed under: uncultured bacterium
Lineage: Bacteria
Description: partial 16S ribosomal RNA
Rfam family: Bacterial small subunit ribosomal RNA
Source: RNAcentral